UCCCUGGUGGCUCAGAGAUUAAAGCAUCUGCCUGCAAUGCGGGAGACCUGGGUUUGAUCCCUGGGUGGGGAA
This 72-nucleotide transfer RNA is filed under the name Bos taurus (domestic cattle). It matches the Rfam family "tRNA". Rfam says of the family: Transfer RNA (tRNA) molecules are approximately 80 nucleotides in length. The record is from Rfam by way of RNAcentral. Lineage: Eukaryota; Metazoa; Chordata; Mammalia; Artiodactyla; Bovidae.